Molecule: long non-coding RNA, 1757 nt
Filed under: Homo sapiens (human)
Lineage: Eukaryota; Metazoa; Chordata; Mammalia; Primates; Hominidae
Description: HSALNT0388512
Source: RNAcentral
CUCACUGUCAGGCCUCUGAGCCCAAGCCAAGCCAUCGCAUCUCCUGUGACUUGCACCUAUACGCCCAGAUGGCCUGAAGUAACUGAAGAAUCACAAAAGAAGUGAAAAGGCCCUGCCCCGCCUUAACUGAUGACAUUCCACCAUUGUGAUUUGUUCCUGCCCCAACUUAACUGAAUGAUUAACCCUGGGAAUUUCCUUCUCCUGGCUCAGAAGCUCCCCCACUGAGCACCUUGUGACCCCCGCCCCUGCCCACCAGAGAACAACCCCCUUUGACUGUAAUUUUCCAUUACCUUCCCAAAUCCUAUAAAACGGCCCCACCCCUAUCUCCCUUUGCUGACUCUCUUUUCGGACUCAGCCCACCUGCACCCAGGUGAAAUAAACAACCAUGUUGCUCACACAAAGCCUGUUUGGUGGUCUCUUCACACGGACGCACAUGAAAUUUGGUGCCGUGACUCGGAUCGGGGGACCUCCCUUGGGAGAUCAAUCCUCCGUCCUCCUGCUCUUUGCUCCAUGAGAAAGAUCCACCUACGACCUCAGGUCCUCAGACUGAUCAGCCCAAGAAACAUCUCACCAAUCUCAAAUCCGGUAAGUGGCCUCUUUUUACUCUCUUCUCCAACCUCCCUCACUAUCCCUCAACCUCUUUCUCCUUUCAAUCUUGGCGCCACACUUCAAUCUCUCCCUUCUCUUAAUUUCAAUUCCUUUCAUUUUCUGGUAGAGACAAAGGAGACACGUUUUAUCCGUGGACCCAAAACUCCGGCGCCGGUCACGGACUGGGAAGGCAGCCUUCCCUUGGUGUUUAAUCAUUGCAGGGACACCUCUCUGAUUAUACACUCACAUUUCAAGGGUGUCAGACCACACAGGGACGCCUGCCUUGGUCCUUCACCCUUAGUGGCAAGUCCCGCUUUUCUGGGGAAGGGUCAAGUACCCCAACCCCUUCUCUUGUCUCUACCCCUUCUCUGCUUUUCUGGGGCAGGGGCAAGUACCCCUCAACCCCUUCUCCUUCACCCUUAGCGGCAAGUCCCGCUUUCCUAGGGGGCAAGAACCCCCCAAUCCCUUAUUUCCACACCCCAACCUCUUAUCUCUGCGCCCCAGUCCCUUAUUUCCACGCCCCAACCUCUUGUCUCUGCGCCCCAAUCCCUUAUCUCUGCGCCCCAAUCCCUUAUUUCCACACCCCAACCUCUUAUCUCUGCGCCCCAGUCCCUUAUUUCCACGCCCCAACCUCUUAUCUCUGCGUCCCAAUCCCUUAUUUCCACGCCCCAACCUCUUAUCUCUGCGCCCCAAUCCCUUAUCUCUGCGCCCCAAUGCCUUAUUUCCGCGCCCCGACCCCCCCCUCCCGCUUUUCUGGAAGAAGAAGGCAGGAAUGUCAGGCCUCUGAGCCCAAGCCAAGCCAUCGCAUCCCCUGUGAUUUGCACCUAUACGCCCAGAUGGCCUGAAGUAACUGAAGAAUCACAAAAGAAGUGAAAAGGCCCUGCCCCGCCUUAACUGACGACAUUCCACCAUUGUGAUUUGUUCCUGCCCCAACUUAACUGAGUGAUUAACCCUGGGAAUUUCCUUCUCCUGGCUCAGAAGCUCCCCCACUGAGCACCUUGUGACCCCCGCCCCUGCCCACCAGAGAACAACCCCCUUUGACUGUAAUUUUCCAUUACCUUCCCAAAUCCUAUAAAACGGCCCCACCCCUAUCUCCCUUCGCUGACUCUCUUUUCGGACUCAGCCCACCUGCACCCAGGUGAAAUAAACAACCAUGUUGCUCACACAAA